GUCCUCGACCUGCUGGGGACAGAUCAGGUGGACGUGGGCGUCCAUGCCGCCAGCAGUGACGAUGCGCCCUUCGGCCGCGAUGAUCUCGGUGCCCGGUCCGAUCACAAGGGUCACCCCGGGCUGGGUGUCGGGGUUGCCGGCCUUGCCGAUGCCGUGAAUGCGACCGUCGCGCAGCCCGAUAUCGGCCUUGUAGAUGCCCGAAUGGUCAAGAAUCAGCGCAUUUGUGAUGACGGUGUCCAUGGCGCCAUCGGCGCGGCUGGCCUGACUUUGCCCCAUGCCGUCGCGGAU
This 288-nucleotide small RNA is filed under the name Paracoccus sp. J56. RNAcentral describes it as "5' ureB small RNA". It matches the Rfam family "5' ureB small RNA". Lineage: Bacteria; Pseudomonadati; Pseudomonadota; Alphaproteobacteria; Rhodobacterales; Paracoccaceae. The record is from Rfam by way of RNAcentral.